This is a long non-coding RNA of Sardina pilchardus (European sardine), 832 nucleotides long. RefSeq lists it as uncharacterized. The record is from RefSeq and is a predicted model, not a curated record. The transcript has 4 exons. Lineage: Eukaryota; Metazoa; Chordata; Actinopteri; Clupeiformes; Clupeidae.
CAAUAACGUUUCAAGCUCAGCAUUGUGUCAGUAUGAAAAUGUGGAGGUUGACCAAGAAGCUUAGACUUAGUCUCUUAUUUGAAUGCGGUGAUAACCCAGCGCGGUUUUGCUUAUCUUCCCCUGUCAGUCACUGUCCAUUUCGGAGGUGAGAUAACAAGAGUCCUCCACUGUCCCAUAAUACAUUUCAGCUUCAAACUCCAGCCCCAGUGUCUUCCUGUGAGACAGAGGACUGCUGGAGCAGGACGGAGGAGUCCGAGAGGUGUGAAUGGUGGCCACAGCAGAGCCGCUCAUGACAUAUGUAUCUUCCUCUUCCCCCUCUUCAUCAUCGAGAUCUGCCAGAGGAGCCUUCAGUGGUUCAAGCGCCUAAUUCUAUCAUGGGAGACGGAGACCAGAGCCUGUUCAGGACGGAUUGGAUUGGCAGGCCGCAGACGCUCAUUAUGGGAUGUGACUGAUCUCUGGGUGGAUGCAAGAUGAAACGCUGAUGGUCUCUCAGGCUGACCUCAUCCCUCGCUGCUGUUCCAAACUCCUGCAGUCUGAGGGAAGCUGCUCAUUUGGGUGCUGCUGUGACGUCUGCGUUUGUUCCUCUGAUGAUCUCCAGACUGCAGCUGGCCAGAGGGCUCACAGCAGACAGGGGCUGGACUCGCUCCAUACUCAACCACUAUCUUGGGCCUGCACACAGAUUUCCCCUGAACUGGCCCCUGUUCAUCAUAAUGUGUUACUAGGAACUAAUUUCAUGGAAAAGAACGAGUCUAGGAAAUAAUUGUACUUGAAAUGGAGAGUUUUAAAUUCCUGCGUGCAUGUGUACGCGUGUGUGUGCGUGCGUGCGUGCGUG